CCUACGGGGCGCAGCAGUCGAGAAUCAUUCACAAUGGGGGAAACCCUGAUGGUGCGACGUCGCGUGGGGGAAUGAAGGUCUUCGGAUUGUAAACCCCUGUCAUGUGGGAGCAAAUUAAAAAGAUAGUACCACAAGAGGAAGAGACGGCUAAAGCUGUGCCAGCAGCCGCGGUAAUACAGAGGUCUCAAGCGUUGUUCGGAAUCACUGGGCGUAAGGCGUGCGUAGGCUGUUUCGUAAGUCGUGUGUGAAAGGCGCGGGCUCAACCCGCGGACGGCACAUGAGACUGCGAGACUAGAGUAAUGGAGGGGGAACCGGAAUUCUCGGUGUAGCAGUGAAAUGCGUAGAUAUCGAGAGGAACACUCGUGGCGAAGGCGGGUUCCUGGACAUUAACUGACGCUGAGGCACGAAGGCCAGGGGAGCGAAAGGGAUUAGAUACCCCUGUAGUC
This 446-nucleotide ribosomal RNA is filed under the name uncultured bacterium. RNAcentral describes it as "partial 16S ribosomal RNA". It matches the Rfam family "Bacterial small subunit ribosomal RNA", at positions 338 to 795 of the family's 1533-position model. The record is from RNAcentral.